Sphaeramia orbicularis (orbiculate cardinalfish) is the source of this 126-nucleotide long non-coding RNA. RefSeq lists it as uncharacterized. The transcript has 3 exons. Lineage: Eukaryota; Metazoa; Chordata; Actinopteri; Kurtiformes; Apogonidae. The record is from RefSeq and is a predicted model, not a curated record.
GACUAAAGAGGUCCUGAAGUGACCCACAUGGACUAAAGAGGUCCUGAAGUGACCCACAUGCACUAAAGAGGUCCUGAUGGAAUACCAGACCAUGCAGACACACUCUGUCUUUAAGCUCCUCCUCCU